RNAcentral lists this ribosomal RNA (461 nucleotides) under uncultured bacterium. Its description in RNAcentral is "bacterial SSU rRNA". It matches the Rfam family "Bacterial small subunit ribosomal RNA", at positions 29 to 525 of the family's 1533-position model. The record is from RNAcentral.
AACGAACGCUUGCGGCAGGCCUAACACAUGCAAGUCGAACGGUAGACUGACUUCGGUCAGUUGAGAGUGGCAAACGGGUGCGUAACACGUGGGAACAUGCCUAUAGGUGGGGGAUAACUACGGGAAACUGUAGCUAAUACCGCAUACCUUCUACGGAAGAAAGAUUUAUCGCCUAUAGAUUGGCCCGCGGUUGAUUAGAUAGUUGGUGGGGUAAUGGCUCACCAAGUCUACGAUCAAUAGCUGGUUUGAGAGAACGAUCAGCCACACUGGGACUGAGAUACGGCCCAGACUCCUACGGGAGGCAGCAGUGAGGAAUAUUGGACAAUGGGGGAAACCCUGAUCCAGCCAUGCCGCGUGAGUGAUGAAGGCUUUCGGGUUGUAAAGCUCUUUCAGCGGGGAAGAUAAUGACGGUACCCGCAGAAGAAGCCCCGGCUAACUCCGUGCCAGCAGCCGCGGUAAUU